CUGGAAACUGGGGCUAACUCUUGAUAGGCGAAGAACUCUGGAAUGAGCCUUUACCUAAAUAGAUUCACGUUAUCCUCGUGAACCUGCCUAAGGAUGAGGCCGCGACCGAUCAGGUUGUUGGCGAGGUAAUGGCUCACCAAGCCUUUUACCGGUGCGGGCCGUGGGAGCGGGAGCCCGGAGAUGGGUACUGAGACAAGGACCCAGGCCCUACGGGGCGCAGCAGUCGCGAAACCUUUGCAAUAAGCGAAAGCUUGACAGGGCUAUCCCGAGUGCCAUCCGCUGAGGAAGGCUUUUACCCAGUCUAGAACGCUGGGGGAAUAAGGAGAGGGCAAGUCUGGUGUCAGCCGCCGCGGUAAUACCAGCUCUCCGAGUGGUGUGGAUGUUUAUUGGGCCUAAAGCAUCCGUAGCUGGCUAAGUUAGUCCCUUGUUAAAUCCACCGAAUUAAUCGUUGGAUCGCGGGGGAUACUGCUUGGCUAGGGGACGAGAGAGGCAGACGGUAUUUUCGGGUUAGGGGUGAAAUCCUAUAAUCCCGGGAAGACCACCACUGGCGCAGGCUGUUUGUAGAACGCGCCCGACGGUGAGGGAUGAAAGCUGGGGGAGCGAACCGGAUUAGAUACCCGGGUAGUCCCAGCUGUAAACGAUGCAGACUAGUUGUCUGGACGGCCACGUGCCGUUCUAGUGCCGCA
RNAcentral lists this ribosomal RNA (686 nucleotides) under uncultured crenarchaeote. RNAcentral's name for it is "SSU rRNA". It matches the Rfam family "Archaeal small subunit ribosomal RNA", at positions 133 to 805 of the family's 1478-position model. Lineage: Archaea; Thermoproteati; Thermoproteota. The record is from RNAcentral.